This 344-nucleotide unclassified non-coding RNA is filed under the name soil metagenome. RNAcentral's name for it is "partial contains 5.8S ribosomal RNA, internal transcribed spacer 2, and large subunit ribosomal RNA". The stretch from base 1 to 119 matches the Rfam family "5.8S ribosomal RNA", at positions 35 to 154 of the family's 154-position model. The record is from RNAcentral.
GAUGAAGAACGCAGCGAAAUGCGAUACGUAAUGUGAAUUGCAAAUUCAGUGAAUCAUCGAGUCUUUGAACGCACAUUGCGCCCCCUGGUAUUCCGGGGGGCAUGCCUGUCCGAGCGUCAUUGCUGCCCUCAAGCACGACUUGUGUGUUGGGCCCCGUCCUCCGAUUCCGGGGGACGGGCCCGAAAGGCAGCGGCGGCACCGCGUCCGGUCCUCGAGCGUAUGGGGCUUUGUCACCCGCUCUGUAGGCCCGGCCGGCGCUUGCCGAUCAACCCAAAUUUUUAUCCAGGUUGACCUCGGAUCAGGUAGGGAUACCCGCUGAACUUAAGCAUAUCAUAAGCGGAGGA